This 305-nucleotide ribosomal RNA is filed under the name uncultured bacterium. RNAcentral describes it as "bacterial SSU rRNA". It matches the Rfam family "Bacterial small subunit ribosomal RNA", at positions 337 to 658 of the family's 1533-position model. The record is from RNAcentral.
UCCUACGGGGGGCAGCAGUGGGGAAUAUUGCACAAUGGGGGGAACCCUGAUGCAGCGACGCCGCGUGAGUGAAGAAGUAUUUCGGUAUGUAAAGCUCUGUCAGCAGGGAAGAAGAAAGACGGUACCUGACCAAGAAGCCCCGGCUAACUACGUGCCAGCAGCCGCGGUAAUACGUAGGGGGCAAGCGUUAUCCGGAUUUACUGGGUGUAAAGGGAGCGCAGACGGCAGUGCAAGUCUGGAGUGAAAGCCCGGGGCCCAACCCCGGAACUGCUCUGGAAACUGUGCGGCUAGAGUACUGGAGGGGG